UGGUUGUGUGAUGAAAAUAUGAGAAGUUUGAUAGUUAUUCUCGCAAAUGCAUGGUUCUAGAAUAUGUGAAUUAUGAAAUCUAAACUGGAAAAUAGUUUCAACGGUUUAGCAUUUAGUUUAAUGAUGUUUUUGCAUGACAUUCCACGCAUUCUGUUGAAUAUUCUAUUUGAAUUUUUCAUUCUAGGAGUUGUUUGAGAAAACAUUAGUAACUCUGAUAUAAAACAAAUCAGAGAUCAUUCGCUACAUCAUCCAUUGUUUUCUUAUAUCGACUUAUUCAAGUAGAGCAAUUCUUUAGAGUUUAUUUAUUUUUAUAAGAAGUUACAUAAGAAUCAUAUGGAGAAUAGUUUACUUGAAUCCAGGAUGAGUCCCUGUAUCUGAGUUCUUGUUCUGUGAAUUUGGAAUAUGAUUUUAGGUUGGAAAAU
RNAcentral lists this long non-coding RNA (422 nucleotides) under Phoenix dactylifera (date palm). RNAcentral describes it as "long non-coding RNA (PDAC_LNC003675)". Lineage: Eukaryota; Viridiplantae; Streptophyta; Magnoliopsida; Arecales; Arecaceae. The record is from RNAcentral.